UAGCAGCACUGAAAUAUUGGCA
This 22-nucleotide non-coding RNA is filed under the name Mus musculus (house mouse). RNAcentral also lists the same sequence under 1 other name. The record is from RNAcentral. Lineage: Eukaryota; Metazoa; Chordata; Mammalia; Rodentia; Muridae.